This 1442-nucleotide ribosomal RNA is filed under the name uncultured Bordetella sp. RNAcentral's name for it is "partial 16S-23S ribosomal RNA intergenic spacer". It matches the Rfam family "Bacterial small subunit ribosomal RNA". Lineage: Bacteria; Pseudomonadati; Pseudomonadota; Betaproteobacteria; Burkholderiales; Alcaligenaceae. The record is from RNAcentral.
AGUUUGAUUAUGGCCUAGAUUGAACGCUGGCGGGAUGUUUACACAUGCAAUUCGAACGGCACUGGACUUCGGUCUGGUGGUUGGCGGCGAACGGGUGAGUAAUGUAUCGGAACGUGCCUAGUAGCGGGGGAUAACUACGCGAAAGCGUAGCUAAUACCGCAUACGGGCCUCUUCGGGGAAAGCGGGGACCUUCGGGCCUCGCACUAUUAGAGCGGCCGACAUUUGAUUAGCUAGUUGGUGGGUAACGGCUCACCAAGGCGACGAUCCGUAGCUAACAGGAGGAUUAAUUCAGCCACACUGGGACGAGACACGGCCCAGACUCCUACGGGAGGCAGCAGUGGGAAUUUUUGGACAAUGGGGAAACCCUGAUCCAGCCAUCCCGCGUGCACAAGGCCUUCGGGUUGUAGCACUGUGCAGGAAAGAAACGGCACGGGAUAAUACCCUUGUGCAACUGACGGUACCAGCAGAAUAAGCACCGGCUAACCAUGCCAGCAGCCAGCAAUACGUAGGGUGCAAGCGUUAAUCGGAACUACGGGCGUAAAGCGUGCGCAAGUGUCUGGAAAGAAAGAUGUGAAAUCCCAGAGCUUAACUUGGAACCGCAUUUUUAACUACCGAGCUAGAGUGUGUCAGAGGGAGGUGGAAUUCGCGUGUAGCAGUGAAAUGCGGUAUAUGCGGAGGAACACCGAUGGCGAAGUAGCCUCCUGGGAUAACACUGACGCUCAUGCACGAAAGUGGGGAGCAACAUAUUUUUCGAUACUCCUGGUAGUCCACGCCCCAAACGAUGUCAACUAGCUGUUGGGCCUUCGGGCCGUGGUAGCGCAGCUAACGGGUGAAGUUGACCGCCUGGGGAGUACGGUCGCAAGAUUAAAAACCUCGAAGGAAUUGAUGGGCCCGCACAAGCGGUGGAUGACGUGGAUUAAUUCAUGCAACGCGAAACCUUACCUACCUCGACAUAUCUGGAAUCCCGAAGAGAUUUGGGAGUGUCGCAAGAACUGGAACACAGAAGCGCAGUGGCUGUCGUCAGUCGUGUCACGUGAGAUGUUGCUAAGUCCCGCAACGAGCGCAACCCUUGUCACGGUUACGCUAAAAGCGCACUUGACGAGACUGCCGGUGACAAACCGGAGGAAGGGGAUGACGUCAAGUCCUCGCGGCCCUUAUGGGUAGCUUCACACGUCAUACAAUGGUCGGGCCAGAGGGCCAACCGCGAGGGGGAGCCAAUCCCAGAAACCCCGAUCAGUCCUGAUCGCAGUCUGCAACUCGACUAUGGCUGGAAUCGCUAGCACUCGCGGAUCAGCAUGUCGCGGUGAAUACGUUCCCGGGUCUUGUACACACCGCCCGUCACACCAUGGGAGUGGGUUUACCAGAAGUAGUUAGCCUAACCGUAAGGAGGGCGAUUACCACGGUAGGAUUCUGCGACCGGGGUGAAGUCGUAACGAAGGUAG